Molecule: ribosomal RNA, 497 nt
Filed under: uncultured bacterium
Lineage: Bacteria
Description: partial 16S ribosomal RNA
Rfam family: Bacterial small subunit ribosomal RNA
Source: RNAcentral
GAUGAACGCUGGCGGCGUGCCUAAUACAUGCAAGUCGAGCGAACAGAUGAGGAGCUUGCUCCUCUGACGUUAGCGGCGGACGGGUGAGUAACACGUGGAUAACCUACCUAUAAGACUGGGAUAACUUCGGGAAACCGGAGCUAAUACCGGAUAAUAUAUUGAACCGCAUGGUUCAAUAGUGAAAGACGGUUUUGCUGUCACUUAUAGAUGGAUCCGCGCCGCAUUAGCUAGUUGGUAAGGUAACGGCUUACCAAGGCAACGAUGCGUAGCCGACCUGAGAGGGUGAGCGGCCACACUGGAACUGAGACACGGUACAGACUCCUACGGGAGGCAGCAGUAGGGAAUCGUCCGCAAUGGGCGAAAGCCUGACGGAGCAACGCCGCGUGAGUGAUGAAGGUCUUCGGAUCGUAAAACUCUGUUAUUAGGGAAGAACAAAUGUUUAAGUAACUAUGCACGUCUUGACGGCACCUAAUCAGAAAGCCACGGCUAACUACGUG